GACGAACGCUGGCGGCGUGCUUAACACAUGCAAGUCGAACGGAAAGGCCCUGCUUUUGUGGGGUGCUCGAGUGGCGAACGGGUGAGUAACACGUGAGUAACCUGCCCUUGACUUUGGGAUAACUUCAGGAAACUGGGGCUAAUACCGGAUAGGAGCUCCUGCUGCAUGGUGGGGGUUGGAAAGUUUCGGCGGUUGGGGAUGGACUCGCGGCUUAUCAGCUUGUUGGUGGGGUAGUGGCUUACCAAGGCUUUGACGGGUAGCCGGCCUGAGAGGGUGACCGGCCACAUUGGGACUGGGAUACGGCCCAGACUCCUACGGGGGGCAGCAGUGGGGAAUAUUGCACAAUGGGCGGAAGCCUGAUGCAGCAACGCCGCGUGCGGGAUGACGGCCUUCGGGUUGUAAACCGCUUUCGCCUGUGACGAAGCGUGAGUGACGGUAAUGGGGAAAGAAGCACCGGCUAACUACGU
Molecule: ribosomal RNA, 467 nt
Filed under: uncultured bacterium
Lineage: Bacteria
Description: partial 16S ribosomal RNA
Rfam family: Bacterial small subunit ribosomal RNA
Source: RNAcentral